AGAGUUUGAUCCUGGCUCAGGACGAACGCUGGCGGCGUGCCUAAUACAUGCAAGUCGAGCGGGACACUUCGGUGUCUAGCGGCGGACGGGUGAGUAACACGUGGGUAACCUGCCUGAUAGACUGGGAUAACGCUUGGAAACGAGUGCUAAUACCGGAUAGUCUUUUGAACCGCAUGGUUUGAAAGGGAAAGAAGCUAUCG
This 200-nucleotide ribosomal RNA is filed under the name uncultured bacterium. RNAcentral's name for it is "partial 16S ribosomal RNA". It matches the Rfam family "Bacterial small subunit ribosomal RNA", at positions 8 to 223 of the family's 1533-position model. The record is from RNAcentral.